UAGCUCAAUGGUCGAGCGUUGGCUUUGAAAGCCACAGGUCGGUGGUUCGAUCCCGUC
Phytophthora nicotianae (black shank of tobacco agent) is the source of this 57-nucleotide transfer RNA. It matches the Rfam family "tRNA", at positions 8 to 63 of the family's 71-position model. Rfam says of the family: Transfer RNA (tRNA) molecules are approximately 80 nucleotides in length. Their secondary structure includes four short double-helical elements and three loops (D, anti-codon, and T loops). The record is from Rfam. Lineage: Eukaryota; Oomycota; Peronosporomycetes; Peronosporales; Peronosporaceae.